GCAAGUCGAGCGGAAACGAUCCUAGCUUGCUAGGAGGCGUCGAGCGGCGGACGGGUGAGUAAUGCAUAGGAAUCUGCCCGGUAGUGGGGGAUAACCUGAGGAAACUCAGGCUAAUACCGCAUACGUCCUACGGGAGAAAGCAGGGGCUCUUCGGACCUUGCGCUAUCGGAUGAGCUUAUGUCGGAUUAGCUGGUUGGUGAGGUAACGGCUCACCAAGGCGACGAUCCGUAGCUGGUCUGAGAGGAUGAUCAGCCACAUCGGGACUGAGACACGGCCCGAACUCCUACGGGAGGCAGCAGUGGGGAAUAUUGGACAAUGGGGGCAACCCUGAUCCAGCCAUGCCGCGUGUGUGAAGAAGGCCCUCGGGUUGUAAAGCACUUUCAGUGAGGAAGAAGGCUUGUCGGUUAAUACCCGGCAAGAAAGACAUCACUCACAGAAGAAGCACCGGCUAACUCCGUGCCAGCAGCCGCGGUAAUACGGAGGGUGCGAGCGUUAAUCGGAAUUACUGGGCGUAAAGCGUGCGUAGGCGGCUUGAUAAGCCGGUUGUGAAAGCCCCGGGCUCAACCUGGGAACGGCAUCCGGAACUGUCAGGCUAGAGUGCAGGAGAGGAAGGUAGAAUUCCCGGUGUAGCGGUGAAAUGCGUAGAGAUCGGGAGGAAUACCAGUGGCGAAGGCGGCCUUCUGGACUGACACUGACGCUGAGGUACGAAAGCGUGGGUAGCAAACAGGAUUAGAUACCCUGGUAGUCCACGCCGUAAACGAUGUCGACUAGCCGUUGGGGUCCUCGAGACCUUUGUGGCGCAGUUAACGCACUAAGUCGACCG
RNAcentral lists this ribosomal RNA (823 nucleotides) under Halomonas elongata. RNAcentral's name for it is "bacterial SSU rRNA". It matches the Rfam family "Bacterial small subunit ribosomal RNA", at positions 57 to 871 of the family's 1533-position model. Lineage: Bacteria; Pseudomonadati; Pseudomonadota; Gammaproteobacteria; Oceanospirillales; Halomonadaceae. The record is from RNAcentral.